UCUGUCGGUGAUGAUGAAUUAUCCCCCUUGGUUGAGUUUAAUUACCAUGAAAAAACUCACAUGCACUACCAUCUGAGACAAG
This is a small nucleolar RNA of Centropristis striata (black sea bass), 82 nucleotides long. The record is from RefSeq and is a predicted model, not a curated record. NCBI's taxonomy places the organism in Eukaryota, Metazoa, Chordata, Actinopteri, Perciformes, Serranidae.